GGGAAUACUGCAAAGCUAGGGAGUGGGAGAGGUAGACGGUACUCGGUAGGAAGGGGUAAAAUCCUUUGACCUAUUGAUGACCACCUGUGGCGAAGGCGGUCUACCAGAACCACGUCCGACGGUGAGGGAUGAAAGCUGGGAGAGCAAACCGGAUUAGAUACCCGGGUAGUCCCAGCUGUAAACCAUGCAAACUCAGUGAUGCAUUGGCUUGUGGCCAAUGCAGUGCUGCAGGGAAGCCGUUAAGUUUGCCGCCUGGGAAGUACGUACGCAAGUAUGAAACUUAAAGGAAUUGGCGGGGGAGCACCACAAGGGGUGAAGCCUGCGGUUCAAUUGGAGUCAACGCCAGAAAUCUUACCCGGAGAGACAGCAGAAUGAAGGUCAAGCUGAAGACUUUACCAGACAAGCUGAGAGGUGGUGCAUGGCCGUCGCCAGCUCGUGCCGUGAGAUGUCCUGUUAAGUCAGGUAACGAGCGAGAUCCCUGCCUCUAGUUGCCACCAUUACUCUCAGGAGUAGUGGGGCGAAUUAGCGGGACCGCCACAGUUAAUGUGGAGGAAGGAAGGGGCCACGGCAGGUCAGUAUGCCCCGAAACUCUGGGGCCACACGCGGGCUGCAAUGGUAGUGACAAUGGGUUCCGAAUCCGAAAGGAGGAGGUAAUCCUCAAACACUACCACAGUUAUGACUGAGGGCUGCAACUCGCCCUCACGAAUAUGGAAUCCCUAGUAACUGCGUGUCAUUAUCGCGCGGUGAAUACGUCCCUGCUCCUUGCACUCACCGCCCGU
Molecule: ribosomal RNA, 779 nt
Filed under: uncultured archaeon
Lineage: Archaea
Description: bacterial SSU rRNA
Rfam family: Archaeal small subunit ribosomal RNA
Source: RNAcentral